CGGCGGACGGGUGAGUAACGCGUGGGUAACCUGCCUCAUACAGGGGGAUAACAGUUGGAAAUGGCUGCUAAUACCGCAUAAGCGCACAGUACCGCAUGGUACGGUGUGAAAAACCCAGGUGGUGUGAGAUGGAUCCGCGUCUGAUUAGCCAGUUGGCGGGGUAACGGCCCACCAAAGCGACGACCAGUAGCCGACCUGAGAGGGUGACCGGCCACAUUGGGACUGAGACACGGCCCAA
This 238-nucleotide ribosomal RNA is filed under the name uncultured bacterium. RNAcentral's name for it is "partial 16S ribosomal RNA". It matches the Rfam family "Bacterial small subunit ribosomal RNA", at positions 96 to 334 of the family's 1533-position model. The record is from RNAcentral.